CCCGCACAAGCGGUGGAGCAUGUGGUUAAUUCGAAGCAACGCGAAGAACCUUACCAGGCCUUGACAUGCAGAGAACUUUCCAGAGAUGGAUUGGUGCCUUCGGGAACUCUGACACAGGUGCUGCAUGGCUGUCGUCAGCUCGUGUCGUGAGAUGUUGGGUUAAGUCCCGUAACGAGCGCAACCCUUGUCCUUAGUUACCAGCACGUUAUGGUGGGCACUCUAAGGAGACUGCCGGUGACAAACCGGAGGAAGGUGGGGAUGACGCCAAGUCAUCAUGGCCCUUACGGCCUGGGCUACACACGUGCUACAAUGGUCGGUACAAAGGGUUGCCAAGCCGCGAGGUGGAGCUAAUCCCAUAAAACCGAUCGUAGUCCGGAUCGCAGUCUGCAACUCGACUGCGUGAAGUCGGAAUCGCUAGUAAUCGUGAAUCAGAAUGUCACGGUGAAUACGUUCCCGGGCCUU
RNAcentral lists this ribosomal RNA (462 nucleotides) under uncultured Pseudomonas sp. Its description in RNAcentral is "bacterial SSU rRNA". It matches the Rfam family "Bacterial small subunit ribosomal RNA", at positions 920 to 1382 of the family's 1533-position model. Lineage: Bacteria; Pseudomonadati; Pseudomonadota; Gammaproteobacteria; Pseudomonadales; Pseudomonadaceae. The record is from RNAcentral.